GAUGAACGCUGGCGGCGUGCCUAAUACAUGCAAGUCGAGCGAACGGACGAGAAGCUUGCUUCUCUGAUGUUAGCGGCGGACGGGUGAGUAACACGUGGAUAACCUACCUAUAAGACUGGGAUAACUUCGGGAAACCGGAGCUAAUACCGGAUAAUAUUUUGAACCGCAUGGUUCCAAAGUAAAAGACGGUCUUGCUGUCACUUAUAGAUGGAUCCGCGCUGCAUUAGCUAGUUGGUAAGGUAACGGGUUACCAAGGCAACGAUGCAUAGCCGACCUGAGAGGGUGAUCGGCCACACUGGAACUGAGACAGGGUCCAGACUCCGACGGGAGGCAGCAGUAGGGAAUCUUCCGCAAUGGGCGAAAGCCUGACGGAGCAACGCCGCGUGAGUGAUGAAGGUCUUCGGAUCGUAAAACUCUGUUAUUAGGGAAGAACAUAUGUGUAAGUAACUGUGCACAUCUUGACGGUACCUAAUCAGAAAGCCACGGCUAACUACGUG
This 497-nucleotide ribosomal RNA is filed under the name uncultured bacterium. RNAcentral's name for it is "partial 16S ribosomal RNA". It matches the Rfam family "Bacterial small subunit ribosomal RNA", at positions 28 to 507 of the family's 1533-position model. The record is from RNAcentral.